UACGUAGGGGGCUAGCGUUGUCCGGAAUCAUUGGGCGUAAAGAGCGUGUAGGCGGUCCGGUAAGUCCGCUGUGAAAGUCGGGGGCUCAACCCUCGAAUGCCGGUGGAUACUGUCGGGCUAGAGUACGGAAGAGGCGAGUGGAAUUCCUGGUGUAGCGGUGAAAUGCGUAGAUAUCAGGAGGAACACCUGUGGCGAAAGCGGCUCUCUGGGACGGUACUGACGCUGAGACGCGAAAGCGUGGGGAGCGAACAGG
Molecule: ribosomal RNA, 253 nt
Filed under: uncultured bacterium
Lineage: Bacteria
Description: partial 16S ribosomal RNA
Rfam family: Bacterial small subunit ribosomal RNA
Source: RNAcentral